Molecule: long non-coding RNA, 116 nt
Organism: Gavialis gangeticus (Gharial)
Lineage: Eukaryota; Metazoa; Chordata; Crocodylia; Gavialidae
Exons: 4
Source: RefSeq, a predicted model, not a curated record
CUCCUUUUUUGUCUCUGUACUGCUGAGAAGGGAGUUCCCCGCCUGUAGGUAUACUGGUUCUUCCUCCCCAGGUGCAUCACCUUGCACUUGUCAGUGUUGAAUCCCAUCCUAUUCUC